RNAcentral lists this ribosomal RNA (468 nucleotides) under uncultured bacterium. Its description in RNAcentral is "partial 16S ribosomal RNA". It matches the Rfam family "Bacterial small subunit ribosomal RNA", at positions 28 to 507 of the family's 1533-position model. The record is from RNAcentral.
GACGAACGCUCGCGGCGCGCUUAACACAUGCAAGUCGAACGGAAAGGCCCUGCUUUUGUGGGGUGCUCGAGUGGCGAACGGGUGAGUAACACGUGAGUAACCUGCCCUUGACUUUGGGAUAACUUCAGGAAACUGGGGCUAAUACCGGAUAGGAGCUCCUGCUGCAUGGUGGGGGUUGGAAAGUUUCGGCGGUUGGGGAUGGACUCGCGGCUUAUCAGCUUGUUGGUGGGGUAGUGGCUUACCAAGGCUUUGACGGGUAGCCGGCCUGAGAGGGUGACCGGCCACAUUGGGGCUGAGAUACGGCCCAGAAUUCUAAGGGAGGCAGCCAUGGGGAAUAUUGCACAAUGGGCGGAAGCCUGAUGCAGCAACGCCGCGUGCGGGAUGACGGCCUUCGGGUUGUAAACCGCUUUCGCCUGUGACGAAGCGUGAGUGACGGUAAUGGGUAAAGAAGCACCGGCUAACUACGUG